CAGCCGCCGCGGUAAUACCGGCGGCCCGAGUGGCGGUCACUAUUAUUGGGCUUAAAGCGUCCGUAGCCGGGGUGGGGAGUCCUCCGGGAAAUCUGGCCGCUUAACGGUCAGAAUGCCGGAGGAUACUCCCAGCCUAGGGAGCGGGAGAGGCCGGGGGGAUUCCCGGAGUAGGGGUGGAAUCCUAUAAUCCCGGGAGGACCACCUGUGGCGAAGGCGCUCGGCGGGAACGCGGCCGACGGUGAGGGACGAAGGCCAGGGGAGCAAACCGGAUUAGAUACCCGGGUAGUCCUGGCUGUAAACGAUGCGGACUUUGUGUCGGACAAGCUAUGAGCUUGUCCGGUGCCGGAGGGAAACCGUUAAGUCCGCCGCCUGGGGAGUCCGGCCGCACGGCUGAAACUUAAAGGAAUUGGCGGG
This 414-nucleotide ribosomal RNA is filed under the name uncultured microorganism. RNAcentral's name for it is "bacterial SSU rRNA". It matches the Rfam family "Archaeal small subunit ribosomal RNA", at positions 459 to 872 of the family's 1478-position model. The record is from RNAcentral.